GGGGUGACUCAGCUUCUCUCUGAGAGUAAAGCCAACCUCAGAGAGGAAAUGUUCGGAGGCUUUGCAAGUAGCUGAGUGACUGAAACUGUUCCCGGUUUUGCUGCUGUCACAGCCUGGCAGGGAAGAUGAAGACCUGGACCCGGGCGCCGAUCUAAGCUUUGAGUGUGGCCAUUUGUCAGGUCUUUCGGCAGCUGCAGCAGCUGUUUUGAGUGUCACUUGUCUUGUGCUGUGCUGGGGCAUCUCGGCAGCUCCGUUGAGCAUCUCCUGUUGUGUCUUCUGCUGUCUUCGUGAGUUGGAUCCCGGCCUAUAGUCUGGCAGCCACGUGCUCCAGGCCCUCAGUGGCAGGAAGACGCUAAUUGGGAACAUUUGUGUUUAGGACUUUACAACACUGGACACUGCUUCAUGUGAGGCUCUAACAGCAGCAAAGAUGGGAACAGGUGAAGAAGCUGUGAUUGCUUCUCAACCUUGGACAUGUGCCAGAGACUUGGGGGGACAUGGAAGGAGACACUGGAAACAGACAUGGGCAAUACCACCUUCACAUGAACGAAUGAAUGACAAAAACUGUGGCUAUUUGAUUUGGUUAAUGAGCAGACAUUGUCCUGAAAAUGAGUGUGUGCUCCUUUAAGAAAAUCAACUGACAAUUGAUAACUGAGAGUAACUUCACCUUGACAAAAUGUAAGCGCUCAGAAAAAAACAGAAUAUGGAAAAUUGUGUCCUAUCACUAACUUGACAAUUUCCAGUACUACUUUUACUUUUGGGAUUUGUGGUGAAAAAUAAAAUGAAUUUUUUAAAAUAAUUUUAUUCCAGUGUAAUGAACACUGAAGAGCUUUUUAACUUAGUGAAACAAUACAUUACUUAAAAAAUUCACACAUUAGGGCCUCCCCUGGUGGCGCAGCAGUUGAGCGCUGGGCUGCAGAGCUGCCCACAGCCUCUGCAGUGCCAGUUCAAUCCCUGGCCGCCAGCGAGGGUCCCCAAUGGUGCACAGACCUCUCCGGCCGCGCCUGCUGCUCCCCUCAGCAGUGUAUUUCAUCAGUCUGCCAAUUCUGUUCCCUGCUAUGGCUCUGGUGAAUUAUCUCACCUUCCCACGCUUCUGACUGUACCUAGUGCUUAUAUAAAUAAAUAAAUAAAUCUUUAAAAAAAAUCACACAUUAGCACAAGACCCCAUUAAUAUGCAAGAGAGGACUAUGGAAAUGUAACAGAAUAAGAAAUAUUCAGUGAUAUUGUUUCAGGUUGGACUUCGCAAGUAACCUUUGAGAAAAUACCACCUAUAUAGUUUUAAUUUAGUAUCGAAGUGGAAUAUUCAUAUUAUGUGAAUACUACUCCAACAUACUUGUGUGAGGCUGUAUACAUUUUUCAUAGACUUCAACCAGAACCACAGACUAAAUGCAGAAGGAGGGCCUCCCUGGUGACUCCAGGGGUUAAGCACCACGCUGUGAAGCAAUCCGCAGCUUCUGCAGCACAGAGUCCCAUCCCAGGCCAGCCAGGGAGCAACCAACAUGGCUCAGCAGACCUCUCCUGACUUUCCUGCUGCUCCCCUUGGCAGUAUAUUUCAGUCAGUCCACCUGUUCUGUUCCCCGCUCUGUCUCUGGUGAAUCCUCUCAUGCCCUGCAUCUCUGCCAUGUACCCCAGCUCUUGUAUGCAUAAAUAAAAAUAAAAUCUUAAAAAAAAAUAAAUGCAGAAGGGAACAUGAAAAUCCUACUGUCUUCUAAUGAGACAGACAAGAAAGACAAUUGCAAAAAUAAAAAAUGUAAAAUAUCCACUCUUCUUAUUGCCAUGAUUAUUUUCAGAAAUAAGUUACUUUUCUUAAGAACACUUUCUAUAAACACGUAUUGGAUUAUUACUAUUAUUCUAAAUGAAAUAGCUACACGAUUAAACUCAGCUUUAUUCCCAGUGUGGUAAAUAUGGGGAGCGAUACCUCCUAAACAAGAUUAUACUUGGCGUCCUCCCUAAUUUGUCAGACUGGACACGGAUCCGGGAAGGAAAAUGACUGAGAAUCGCAGACCCAGUGCUUGGGUCAUGGAGACAGGGUGAGGAAGCUUUGGGUGAGGACAGGAGGGGCCAGAGCAAAGCCCCAGGUCCCUAGUCUGGUUCUCAUAGUUCCAGGCCCCAGGGCUGUGUCCAGGGCAGGAAGGUUACUGUUGGGGAUACCCCACUACCCCCUUAGCCUCCCUUCUGUCUCCACCACCUGUGCUGGGCCCUGGACACUUGUGACUCCUCCCCAGUUCUCAG
Long non-coding RNA from Talpa occidentalis (Iberian mole), 2229 nucleotides. RefSeq lists it as uncharacterized. The record is from RefSeq and is a predicted model, not a curated record. The transcript has 4 exons. NCBI's taxonomy places the organism in Eukaryota, Metazoa, Chordata, Mammalia, Eulipotyphla, Talpidae.